GAUUCCGUAGUGUAGUGGUUAUCACGUGCGCCUCACACGCGCAAGGUCCCCGGUUCGAGCCCGGGCGGAAUCU
Molecule: transfer RNA, 73 nt
Filed under: Patiria miniata (bat star)
Lineage: Eukaryota; Metazoa; Echinodermata; Asteroidea; Valvatida; Asterinidae
Description: tRNA-Val
Rfam family: tRNA
About the family: Transfer RNA (tRNA) molecules are approximately 80 nucleotides in length. Their secondary structure includes four short double-helical elements and three loops (D, anti-codon, and T loops).
Source: Rfam by way of RNAcentral